This is a long non-coding RNA of Cervus elaphus (red deer), 140 nucleotides long. RefSeq lists it as uncharacterized. The record is from RefSeq and is a predicted model, not a curated record. The transcript is spliced from 3 exons. Lineage: Eukaryota; Metazoa; Chordata; Mammalia; Artiodactyla; Cervidae.
CUCAUUGUAGUUUUGAUUUGCAUUUCUCUAAUAGUAAGUGAUUUUGAGCAUCUUUUCAUGUGAUUAUUAGCCUUCUGUAUGUUGUCUUUAGUGAAAUGUCGUCCAUUCUUUGGCCCAUUUUUUGAUUGGGUUGUUUAUUU